GAUGAACGCUGGCGGCGUACUUAACACAUGCAAGUCGAACGGAAAGGCCCAAGCUUGCUUGGGUACUCGAGUGGCGAACGGGUGAGUAACACGUGGGUGAUCUGCCCUGCACUUCGGGAUAAGCCUGGGAAACUGGGUCUAAUACCGGAUAGGACCACAUUUUGGAUGGUGUGGUGGAAAGUUUUUCGGUGUGGGAUGAGCUCGCGGCCUAUCAGCUUGUUGGUGGGGUAAUGGCCUACCAAGGCGUCGACGGGUAGCCGGCCUGAGAGGGUGUACGGCCACAUUGGGACUGAGAUACGGCCCAGACUCCUACGGGAGGCAGCAGUGGGGAAUAUUGCACAAUGGGCGCAAGCCUGAUGCAGCGACGCCGCGUGGGGGAUGACGGCCUUCGGGUUGUAAACUCCUUUCGCUAGGGACGAAGCGUUUUUGUGACGGUACCUGGAGAAGAAGCACCGGCUAACUACGUG
This 467-nucleotide ribosomal RNA is filed under the name uncultured bacterium. RNAcentral's name for it is "partial 16S ribosomal RNA". It matches the Rfam family "Bacterial small subunit ribosomal RNA", at positions 28 to 507 of the family's 1533-position model. The record is from RNAcentral.